This 222-nucleotide ribosomal RNA is filed under the name uncultured bacterium. RNAcentral describes it as "partial 16S ribosomal RNA". It matches the Rfam family "Bacterial small subunit ribosomal RNA", at positions 524 to 748 of the family's 1533-position model. The record is from RNAcentral.
UACGAGAGGCCCAAACGUUAUUCGGAAUUACUGGGCUUAAAGAGUUCGUAGGCGGCAUUGCAAGUAGGGUGUGAAAGCCCUCGGCUCAACCGAGGAAUUGCGCUCUAAACUGCAGUGCUUGAGGACUAGAGGUGAGCAGAACAGAUGGUGGAGCGGUGAAAUGCGUGAUAUCAUCUGGAAUACCGGAGGCGAAGGCGGCUCCACUGGGAGUUUCUGACGCUG